Molecule: unclassified non-coding RNA, 330 nt
Filed under: soil metagenome
Description: partial contains 5.8S ribosomal RNA, internal transcribed spacer 2, and large subunit ribosomal RNA
Rfam family: 5.8S ribosomal RNA (bases 1-120)
Source: RNAcentral
GAUGAAGAACGCAGCGAAAUGCGAUAAGUAAUGUGAAUUGCAGAAUUCAGUGAAUCAUCGAAUCUUUGAACGCACAUUGCGCCCCCUGGUAUUCCGGGGGGCAUGCCUGUCCGAGCGUCAUUACAACCCUCAAGCUCAGCUUGGUGUUGGGCCCCGCCGCCCCGGCGGGCCCUAAAGUCAGUGGCGGUGCCGUCCGGCUCCGAGCGUAGUAAUUCUUCUCGCUCUGGAGGUCCGGUCGUGUGCUCGCCAGCAACCCCCAAUUUUUUUUCAGGUUGACCUCGGAUCAGGUAGGGAUACCCGCUGAACUUAAGCAUAUCAAUAAGCGGAGGA